UGUACAAUGAUCUCUUCCGAACAGAUUAGGGUUUCACAACAAACAGCUUCGAAUUAGAUAUGUCCUGUCCCUAUUAGGGUUUCAUUAUAAUUUUGACGAUCCCUUCGUGACGGAUUAGGUUUUCAUCAUAAAUUUGAUGAUUUGGUGACGUAUUAGGGUUUCAUUAAAUUUAAUGAUCCCUUCGUGACGGAUUAGUGUUUUACUGUAAUAGAUUUGAUGAUUCUGUGACGGACUAGAUUUUCAUUAUAAAUUUAGUGAUCCCUUCUUUUAAUUAAGGGAUAGAGUUUCAUUUCAUACAUCUUGGAAUCAUACAAUCCCUUGAAUGAAAGGUAAGGGGAAGAUUCAGUGAGGCUAUGACAGGGAUCCUUGCAGUAUGAGGGGCGUGAGGCAUUGGAGGUUAGGUAAAAUUAGGUUGGAUGACGAUCUUUUUAAUUUUACCGAUCCCUCCAAAGCCUAUACUCCUUCCUGCACAACCCUGUCUUUCCUUCACGGUGCCAUCCUACUCUGCUAAUACACGUGGUCCCAUGUAAGGGGGCUUCUCUGUUGGUGCGAAGGGAACUUUGGGGCCUUCUAUCAAGGAAGCUACGAACACAGUUGCAGCAAUAUGUCUAAAUAGGUGUUGGGCAUUGAAUCAGCCCUCCAAUUCUUAUAAACUACUGAAUUGAACGGUCUUUAAUUUCUCCCACAUAGUAUGGUAUGAAUGAUAUCUCUUUUGUUUUUUCUCUACAAUUUGGGUAAUUACAAUGUAAUAUGUUGUAUCGUUUUGUCUUAAUUGUUGAUCCUUCAUCAUAAGUUGAUCAAGAAAUUUGUCUGAUCAAUUGAUCAUGAACUGAUCCUUAAUUGAUUAGUUGAAUUGAUCCUUAAUAAAUCAGUUGAUUCUAUAACUCAUCCUUAAUUGAUUAGUUGAAUUGAUCCUUGAUUGAUCAGUUGAUUCUUAAUCAUGUGAUUAAGUAUUCUCUCUGUCUGAUCAGUUGAUUCUUAAUUGAGUGAUACAAAAUUUAGUUGUAUGAAUCGAUCGAGUUUUGUUUGCUUUCUCCAUUUUGUUCUCCAUUUAUUAAAGCUCAUGACUUUUGUCUGCCUGAGUAAAAGGCAGCAAUGUUAGAAGUGGUAAGACACCUUCAUUGCAUCGAAAUCAUUAAAGGGUCUAUAUAUAUUAUGUUAUAUUGUGUAAAUAACUAGCAUGCUGAUAGGAAAUUAUAGAUGAAAUAUAUAUAAAUGUGAUGAAUAUAUAAAUGUGUAAGUUGAAUAGAGAAAAAUGUAAAUUCUAGCAUUGUAGAAGACAAUUCCAUAUAUGGAGGAAUAUUGGGUAGAUUUAAAAUCUAGAUAAAAGAAAAACACAUCAUGAAUGCAUUGAACUCUUUUGUUUGCCCAUGCGUUGGAAGGUGAAGAGUUUUAAAAAUGUCAAGUAAAGAAAUUGAGGGUGCCAUAUGGUUUUUGGAAGACCAAGAGUUUUGGAUUGCAAAGGUAAAAUAAAUUUGAAAACAAAUUAUAGUGCUGGGAGUAGCAUGUUAAGCGCAACAGAAGCAAGAGGGACACUGUGGAUUUGAUGGGAAAAAGACUACGAAGAAAAAAGGAAACAUUUCAUUUUUCAUUUUAAAAAAUAGAGCCCUGGGACAGAGAAUUGAAAAUUAACGCUGCGUAGAGAAACAAAGAAAGAAAAGAAUCAGAUUUGGGAGUGGUAGAAGACAGAGAAUGAGACAUAAGAAACAGAUGUUUCAAAUUUUCAAGAAUUUAAUUUGUAGAUGUAUAAAGAAGAGAAUUGAAUUGAAUGUGACAGGCACGAUAGCAAGGGGCAGAGUAGUUUGAAGUAAAGUUUCUGCAAAAGUAGACAAAUUGUUGAGGAAAGCAUAAAACUAAGAAGUAGCUGCAAAGAAGCUAAAGUGAGGAAAUAGAAGUUUAGAAUUGUUUUGAAAACAAAGACGGGGCAUAUAAAAAGAGUUUAUUUAUGUAAUUUGAAUAUACAUAUUUUUCGGUUUCAGUAUUCA
This is a long non-coding RNA of Cryptomeria japonica (Japanese cedar), 1985 nucleotides long. RefSeq lists it as uncharacterized. NCBI's taxonomy places the organism in Eukaryota, Viridiplantae, Streptophyta, Pinopsida, Cupressales, Cupressaceae. The record is from RefSeq and is a predicted model, not a curated record. The transcript has 2 exons.